This 422-nucleotide ribosomal RNA is filed under the name uncultured bacterium. Its description in RNAcentral is "bacterial SSU rRNA". It matches the Rfam family "Bacterial small subunit ribosomal RNA", at positions 355 to 774 of the family's 1533-position model. The record is from RNAcentral.
UGGGGAAUAUUGGUCAAUGGGCGCAAGCCUGAACCAGCCAUGCCGCGUGCAGGAAGACGGCCCUAUGGGUUGUAAACUGCUUUUGUCAGGGAAUAAACCCCCGCUCGUGAGCGGGGCUGAAGGUACCUGAAGAAUAAGCAUCGGCUAACUCCGUGCCAGCAGCCGCGGUAAUACGGAGGAUGCAAGCGUUAUCCGGAUUUAUUGGGUUUAAAGGGUGCGUAGGCGGAUUUGUAAGUCAGUGGUGAAAGUUUCCGGCUUAACCGGGAGAAUGCCGUUGAGACUGCAGGUCUUGAGUGCAAGCGAGGUAAGUGGAAUGUGUUGUGUAGCGGUGAAAUGCAUAGAUAUAACACAGAACACCGAUUGCGAAGGCAGCUUACUAGUAUGUAACUGACGCUGAGGCACGAAAGCGUGGGGAGCAAACA